Molecule: long non-coding RNA, 6368 nt
Filed under: Ananas comosus (pineapple)
Lineage: Eukaryota; Viridiplantae; Streptophyta; Magnoliopsida; Poales; Bromeliaceae
Description: long non-coding RNA (ACOM_LNC036710)
Source: RNAcentral
UGAGAUCCCUGGUGUACAGCUGUGGAGGCUUGUCGGCAGCUCUGGAGAGUGUCGGAACAAGUCCGAGUCGCGUUGGCGUCAAAUAGACGCAAAACGGACUCCGUGCGACGCGAUGACAGCUUAUAGCGAAGAAAUCUGCAAAACAGCAGAUUUCUCUGCUUGCUGUACCGGUACAACCAGCGUGGCUGUGCCGGUACAACCAGCGCGCACCCGCUUAGUUGCUCUCGGGUUGGCUCUUGUACCGGUACAGGAGCCCGUGUACCGGUACAAGAGGGUAGGUAGAGGGCUAAAUGGGUCAUUUUAUCCCUCGUUUGGAUCACCGACUCUCCCUCUCUCUAUAUAGGAUGGUGUUGAGCUGAGAGAGAGAGACUUCUUGCUUCUUCUCUUCUCUCUCUAGGCUCGUUUGAGGAAGAAGCUCGGUUGGAAGGUUUGUCGCCGACGUCGCGCCGCGGGACCGUUCGAGCACACUUUUUCGCCGGGGUAGCGCGAGGAGGCCGGGCGAGCGUGGGUUUUCACCGUUCUUGCUGUCGCAUCGGGGCUUGGCGUUGUCGAGGUGGGUAAUUCAGCAUUUUCAUUUGUUUCUGGGCAAGUUCUUAUACUUCGAAUUCAAGUGAUGCUGUUUUGCUGAAAUUCAUCGUCGACUGUUAGUAUUUCAGCUCGCGCUCGACGCUGGAGCAUCGGAUUUCGACGAGACUUGGUUUGCUGGAUUCAGAACUUCGAGAGGAAUCCACGAAGCCCUUACUUGCGGGAUUUGGUGAAGGUUAGCUUGGUCGAAACUCUGUAUUUUGAUUUUUGAACUAUGUAUAUGAAGCUCAGUUUGUUUAGCUCUUGCUACUCUAGUAGCUCUCUACUACUGUUCGUAGUAGUGUAUGAUUUACAGGUACAACAAUCGCUUCUUAUAUAGGAAAAACUCCUUUGUAUACGCGGGUUUGUCGGCGUGCCCAGGGAACGAGACAUCCGGAGCGUGGCAGAUUAAGUUGGUAUCAGAGCUUAGCAUUAGGUCGUUGGGACCUAAAAAACCUAAGUUUGGCAAACCUUAGGAAAGCAAGACGCGAGAGGCGUAAUUUAAUUGCGAAAGUCAAUGAUUAAUUGUUCUAACUCCUUCGAGAGUGGGGUGAGUGACUGAAGGAGUUUUGUUUUGGCCUGAAAAAUUAUGCUGGCUGCAGACGACAUAAUUUUGGAGGAAAACAGGGACCGUCUUCCAGACUUUCGUUGAUUGGGUCGAGAGUGUUGUGUUUCAUCUGACCCCGAUUUGUUUCUUGCAGCUAUGUAUCGUCGCCGAGGUCGACCGUCGCUACGGGAGCGUGCCCAGUUGGCGCAGGAUCGUGCUAGAUCUCCCGAGAUGCCUGAGCAGGCAGAGCCGAGUGGAUCACCAGAGGUGAGGGCACCCCCAGUUGUUGAGCAGAGGGCCCGACCGGAGGUGAGUGCGUCCCCGGAUUUGAGUGCACAGUUAGCCGCUCUGACAGAGGUGACGAGGCGGCAGGGGGAGUUGUUGGAGAGGCUGUGCGAGAGGAUAGCUCCGUCAUUGAGUACAGUACCGAGAGCACCAGAGCAGGCCAUUCCGCCUCCGACUACUCCAGCGUCAGCACCAGCCGCAGCUAUGCCCCCACCAGUGGAGCUUCCUGCAGCGCUAGUUGCGCCUGCUAGGGGGCCGGUACAGUUGACAGAGGCCGAGCAGGAGCGGUGGACAGAGAGGUUGGCCCGUUUCCGCCUUUUCGAUCCGCCGAUCUUUGAUGACAGUUGUACUGAGGCCUGGGUUGUUGAGAGAUGGGUCAGUGCGAUGGAAAAGUUAUUUGAGGAUUUGUUUAUUCCCGAGGGGGAGCAGGUGUCUUUCGGAGUCCAUUGCUUGGCAGGUGAUGUCCAUGCCUGGUGGAGGAGAGUGAGGAGAGAGCAGGAACUGGUAGCUUUGCAGCUGAGAUGGGAUGAGUUCUGUGGAAUGCUGUUUGGGAUGUUCUUUCCCAACAGUGUGAAACAGAAGCUCGAAGAGGAUUUAAAGAGGAUUCAGCAGGGAGAUCGACCAGUGCAGGAGUAUAUUCGGGAGUUUACUCGAUUCCUGAACUGUGUGCCAUUUGUGGCCAGGGACGAGGCACACAGGGUAUAUUUGUUUGAGCAGGGGCUGAGACCCGACAUCUUCAGGUUGACGCGGACGCAGAGGUCGAGGACCCUGGAUGCGUCCAUUGAGUAGGCCUUGUGGAUAGAGAGAGGUGAGGUGUCACUGUUGGAGAGGACUCAGGCCGCGGGGUAGAGUCAGGACAAGAAGCGCCCCUUUUAAGAUGAGGCUGGACCGUCGAGCAGUAGGCGUCCGCCGAGGCCUCCACGAUCACGCUCUCAGGGUCGUGGGCCUUCGGGACGUCAGCGUACCAGGGGAUCCCGUCAGCAGGGACAGACCCAGAGGACACCGCAGUGUGUUAUCUGCGGGGGACCACACUGGCCCCGGCAGUACGAGCAGAGAAAGGGCAGGUGUUAUGGUCGUGGUCAGCCUGGACACAUGAGGGCAGCUUGUCCCCGAGCAGCAUCUCCAGCACCAUCAUCAGCUUCAGCACCACCAGCACCUUAGCAGUCUUACGGAGCAGCGCCAAGUUACCGCCAGAAGGAUAGAUCGUCAGUGCCGCGGCCGAGCGAGCGGCGACAGGAGGCACCGAGUGGCAGGGUUUACGCAGCUCAGGUGGAGGACUCUACGGCAGCCGACCAAGUGGUGGCAGGUAUUACUUUGAUUUCUAGCAUUGGAGUUCGCACUCUUUUUGAUACUGGUGCAUCGCAUUUCUUUAUUAGCCGAGCAUUUGCACAGUUACACGGUCUAGAGUUAGGAGCGUUGUCUCAAGCACGAGAGGUGCAGAUCUCAGACCAUGUGUUACAGGUUGCAGAGUGUUGUUGGUCGUGUCCGGUGCAGUUGGAUUCUUGGAUCAUCCCCGCAGACCUGUUGGUGUUAGGGCAGCUGCAGGACUUCGACGUUGUGCUCGGUAUGAAUUGGCUGGCGCGGUACUAUGCUACGAUAGACUGUGGAGCGAGGACUGUGACGUUCCGCGAGCCAGGCCAGGAGGAGUUUACUUUCAGAGGCUGCAGGAGCAUGCUGUUUGCCACCUGGAUAUCUUCGGCGAGAGCUCGACAAAUGCUGAGUAGUGGGUGUAUCGCUUUCCUAGCUACAGUUGUGGAAGUAUCUACAGCGGCGCCGGGACUCGAGGAUAUUCCAGUAGUCCGCGAGUUUCCGGAUGUGUUUCUCCCUGAGUUGACGACGUUGCCGCCGGAGAGGGAGAUUGAGUUUGUGAUUGAUGUAGUUCCUGGAAUUGCACCAAUCUCGAAGGUACCUUAUCGGAUGGCGCCGGCAGAGCUGAGGGAGCUAAAGACGCAGCUGCAGGAUUUGAUGAAUAGAGGGUUUGUGAGACCCAGUGUUUCGCCUUGGGGACCGCCAGUGUUGUUUGUGAAGAAGAAUGAUGGUUCACUUAGGCUGUGUGUGGAUUACCGUGAGCUGGAUAAAGUGACCAUCAAGAAUAUGUAUUCCUUGCCGCGUAUUGAUGAUUUGUUUGAUCAGCUGCACGGAUCUUAUGUCUUUUCGAAGAUUGAUCUCCAGUCAGGUUACCACCAGUUGAGGGUGAGGGCCGAGGAUGUUCCCAAGGCGGCUUUUCGGACUGGGUACGGGCAUUAUGAGUUCACAGUGAUACCUUUUGGAUUGACGAAUGCCCCUGCCGCAUUCAUGGAUUUGAUGAACAGAGCGUUCAAGCCGUUCUUGGAUAGAUUUGUGGUAGUCUUCAUCGACGAUAUCCUGAUUUACUCCCGGAGUGAUGCUGAGUAUGAGGAGCACUUGAGGAUUGUGCUACAGCUUCUGCGAGAGAAGAAGCUGUAUGCCAAGUUAAAGAAGUGCGAGUUCUGGCUACGGGAGGUUGCUUUCUUGGGCCACGUGAUUUCAGCUAAGGGCGUAGCAGUGGACCCGAGGAAGAUUGAGGCAAUUCGAGAUUGGCCUAGACCGACAACGGUGACUGAGGUACGGAGCUUCCUGGGACUUGCAGGAUAUUACCGUCGGUUUGUGGAAGGCUUUGCGAAGCUUUCCACACCCGUCACACGCUUGACGCCGAAGGGGAUUCGUUUUGUCUGGAGCGACGACUGUCAGAGGAGCUUUGAUGAGUUGAGAUUGAGGUUGACGUCAGCUCCUAUCCUUGCCCUUCCUGUUAUGGGCGAAGGAUUCGUGAUCUACAGUGAUGCAUCGCACAGUAGACUUGGUUGCGUGUUGAUGCAGCAUGGUAGGGUAAUUGCUUAUGCUUCACGGCAGUUAAAGGAUUAUGAGAAGAAUUACCCUACGUAUGACUUAGAGCUUGCCGCGGUGGUUUUUGCUUUGAAGCUUUGGCGGCAUUACUUGUACGGCGAGCACUGCGAGGUUUUCACCGAUCAUAAAAGUCUCAAGUAUCUGUUCACACAGAGGGAGCUGAACCUGAGGCAGCGCCGGUGGUUGGAGUUACUGAAGGACUAUGACAUUAGUAUUCAGUAUCAUCCCGGCAGGGCGAAUGUGGUGGCAGAUGCGCUGAGCAGGAAAGCAGUGCAGAGCCUGAGUUUGACGAUCACUGAGCAGAGACCACUACUCGAGGAGCUGCAGCGGCUGGGACUCGAGAUAGUACCCCCUGGUUCUACGGCGAGGUUGACAUCUCUAGUUUUGCAGCCCACUCUGUUGGAUAGGAUCCGAGAGAAACAGAGUGGAGAUCCGUACAUGUUGAGGAUUAGAGAGCAGCUAGACAGGGGGCAGGCUGAGGGUUUUGCUUUAGACAGUUCGGGAGUACGACGGUACAGGGACCGACUGUGUGUGCCUGUGGAUUCAGAGAUCCGAGCGGAUAUUCUGAGAGAGGCUCAUUGUUCUCCUUAUACGGUUCACCCUGGGGGAACCAAAAUGUAUAAGAAUUUAAAGGCACAGUUCUGGUGGCCUGGAAUAAAGAGAGACAUUGGCAGAUAUGUGGCUCAAUGUUUGACUUGUCAACAGGUAAAGGCUGAGCAUCAAGUGCCUGCUGGCAAGCUUUAGAGUCUGCCAGUGCCAGAGUGGAAGUGGGAGUACAUCACGAUGGACUUCGUCGUUGGAUUGCCUAGAGCACAGGGUGGCUAUGAUGCUAUUUGGGUUAUAGUGGACAGACUGACCAAGUCUGCUCACUUCCUACCGGUUCAGACUACCUGGUCCAGAGAGAGACUCGCGCAGCUAUACUUGGAUGAGAUCGUCAGGCUGCACGGCGUGCCAGUAUCGAUUGUAUCAGACCGAGACCCGAGGUUUGUGUCGCAUUUCUGGAGGAGUUUACAGACAGCUUUGGGGACUCAGUUACAUUUCAGCACUGCUUUUCACCCACAGACAGAUGGUCAGUCAGAGCGGACCAUUCAGACUCUAGAGGACAUACUGAGGGCAUGCGUCCUGGACUUUGGAAGAGGGUGGUAUCGACAUUUAAGACUAGCAAAGUUUGCGUACAACAACAGCUAUCAAACGAGCAUUCAGAUGGCUCCGUUUGAAGCGUUGUAUGGACGCAAGUGUCGAUCCCCGUUGUUUUGGAGCGAUGUGGGUGAGAGGAGGACACUUGGGCCUGAGUUGUUGCCAGAGGCUGAGGAGAAGGUGAGAGUUGUUCGAUGACACCUUCUAACAGCCCAGAGCCGACAGAGGAGCUACGCCGAUACCAGGAGACGAGAUUUGGAGUUCCAGGUUGGAGAUCAUGUGUUCCUAAAAGUCUCGCCGUCCAGAGGGAUACGCCGAUUUGGAGUACGUGGAAAGCUCAGUCCACGUUUUGUUGGCCCAUUCGAGGUAUUGGAGCGAGUCGGACUGGUGGCAUACAGGAUAGCUCUACCCCCCGCGACUUGCGGGCAUUCACAAUAUUUUUCACGUCUCAGCUUUGAGGAGAUAUGUUUUCGAUCCUUCUCACGUGAUUGACUUCACUCCACUCGAGAUUGGUGAGGAUCUGAGAUACGAGGAGCGACCGUUGCGGAUUCUUGCUCGGGAGACGAAAGAAUUGUGCAACCGGGUCAUCCCGUAUGUGAAAGUGCAGUGGAGCAAUCACCAGGAGCGGGAGGCGACUUGGCAGCCUGAGACGGUGAUGAGGGAGGCCUAUCCCUAUUUGUUUGAUGCCUGAGCAGAGGUACGUUUCAGUUUCGCGGACGAAAUUUUUUGUAGAGGGGGAGGAUGUGAGAUCCCUAGUGUACACCUGUGGAGGCUUGUCGGCAGCUCUGGAGAGUGUCGGGACAAGUCCGAGUCGCGUUGGCGUCAAAUAGACGCAAAACGGACUCCGUGCGACGCGAUGGCAGCUUAUAGCGAAGAAAUCUGCAAAACAGCAGAUUUCUCUGCUUGCUGUACCGAUACAACCAGCGUGGCUGUACCGGUACAACCAGCGCGCACCCGCUUAGUUGCUCUUGGG